RNAcentral lists this ribosomal RNA (404 nucleotides) under uncultured bacterium. RNAcentral describes it as "partial 16S ribosomal RNA". It matches the Rfam family "Bacterial small subunit ribosomal RNA", at positions 28 to 526 of the family's 1533-position model. The record is from RNAcentral.
GAUGAACGCUGACAGAAUGCUUAACACAUGCAAGUCAACUGUGGCGGACGGGUGAGUAACGCGUACAGAACUUGCCUCCCGGAUAGGGACACCCUUUUGAAACGAAUGCUCCUACCUGAUACUGUGAGAGAGCUUUGCGUCCCAUUAGCUAGUUGGAGAGGUACCGGCUCACCAAGGCGAUGAUGGGUAGCCGGCCUGAGAGGGUGAGCGGCCACAAGGGGACUGAGACACAGGCCUUACAGCUACGGGGGGCAGCAGUGGGUGAGAUUGGGCAAUGUGCCAAAGUCUGAUCGGGGAAUGCUGUGUGCACGAUGAAGUUUUCGGAAUGUAAAGAGCUUUGAGUUGGGAAGCGGUAGCAACAGAAGAAGUGACGGCUAAAUACGUGCCAGCAGCCGCGGUAAUAC